Non-coding RNA from Camellia sinensis, 4670 nucleotides. Lineage: Eukaryota; Viridiplantae; Streptophyta; Magnoliopsida; Ericales; Theaceae. The record is from RefSeq and is a predicted model, not a curated record.
UCAAACCUUUAAUGCGUGAUAGUUUAUACUUGUAAACUAUGCUUUAAGCGAAUUGUUUCUGAAAAUUAUCUAGUUCUUCUCAUAAUACCUUUGAAUUGAAUGUGUGAAAUUCGAAACUAAGACAAAAAGUGAGUUGGGUAUUACUCUAUUACUCGUUUGAUAACAAAAUGAAACAACGGUUAUUGAUGGGAAGAUAAAAAUGUUGAUUUGUUCGCUCGUAAAAAGCUUCAUACCCAACCUUUCAAAUUGUUCGAUUUUGGCUUAUUUGAAUUUGGGGACCUUAACCUUGUUUGCUGACCUCAUGGGAUUAAUUUCCAAGUUGGAGUUCAGAAAUUAUAAUUUGUUUCUACUAUGUAGGUUCAAGUUUAUUUGUACUUCCAUUUCAAUUGCACUGUAGCCCUUUUUUUUUUUUUUUGAGCCUAAUAGUUCUGAGCAGUGAGCACAUUGUUGCUCAAGCUUGGCUUUAUGAUACAAGUAAAUAUGUGCAUGUCAUUCGAUUUGUAUUAUUUAGUUGAUGUGUUAGUGGGUGGCAGAGUUGGUUGACUAUAAAUGGGAAUGUGGGUGUCCAAUAACCAACCUUCGAUCAUUUUGGAAUAGAUAUUUUCAGAGAUUCUCUCUAGAUCUCAAUUGAGACUUUCUCUCUCUAUGAUUUCUCCUCUCUUUGAUUUUGAUUCCAUCAUUUUUGUAUCAGAGCUAGGGACUGAUUCCUAAUCUUUUCUGGAUUUGAGUGUGAUUCAUCAAUAGUAGAAAAAAUUUCGUUUCAAUUUACAAUUGAUUUCGAACUGAUAUGUGGCCAACCGUAAUUGUUGCCUCCACUGUGUGACAUAGCUUGACUUCAAGUUGUGAUAGCUUUCGAAGAAUGAGAUUCAAGUUGCAGGAGUGUCAACUAGGUUGUUCGAAUCUGGAUGGCGUGGGGUUACACUAAGUGGGGAUGGGGCGGGUGUCGGGGAGGGGUAUAGGGGUGAUGUUCAUAAAUGGGGGUGGGUAAGGGUCCCUUGACCUAUCCCUGCCUUGUUGCCGUCAUUAGUCAACGUCUUUGUGUUAUAUCGUGUACAUGUGCUAUGUAUGUGCCUUUGCUACAUAGCAUAUGGGUAAUGAAGUUGAUGAUAGUGCUUGAUUGUUGUGGAUGGUGAAGAGAUGGUGUGGUUGAGGGAGGCACUUUAGGAAGAUGGUAGACAUUGACAUGGUUGGCGAUCACCGGAGGCGGAGGACAUGCAACCCUUGGAGAGAGAGAAGGUGGUAGCGGAGAGCUUGAUGCUUUGCUUGAGAGAUAGGAGAGGUUGAGACGCUAAUUGCAUGCAUGGAGGAGGCUCCCUAAUAUAAGGUGGCCAAACCUUGGUUGCCAACAUAGCUUAGGACAGAUGGCUCCACACCUUAAUUCAACAAUAUGGAUGUUGUUACACGGUCUUGGGUAGAGCUCAACCUCAAAAGCUAGCCCAAGAGGCCAAGGACACACAUCCUACCCAAUCUUUGAAUUCUCAGGCUUUGAUACCAUGCUACACGGUCUUGGGGUAGAACUCAACCCCAAAAUCUAACUCAAAAGAUGUAUCUUGGCUACCUUUUCAUUUGAGGCCAAACCUUGAGGAAUGUAUGAUGGAGUUGACAAUAGGUAAGUAUGAUAUAUCUUUCAAGAUGUCAUAGAAGCUUAGUGUUAGGUAUGAUGAAGGUUUUAAAUAACUGUGGCGGACACUGUAACGGUAAUUGUAGUGUUAAUGCGGUUGCGCAAUGUAACGGCUGUAGCGUAACAGUGGCGGCAACCAGAAUCGUGAAUUUUUUUUUAUUUCUUCGCGCAACUUUAGGAAAACAUACCAAUAUGCAUGUUUUUAUUUCAAAAUCACAUUUAGUGAAGUUCAAAAUAAUUUUGGUAUGUUUUUCUUAGUUUUUAAACAUGAUCCAAUAUAUGUACUAAUUUUUAUAUUAGUUUUAAGUCAUUGUGGAGAUUUUUCCUAUUGUUGGAUUAUUUAAUUUUCUUUGCUAUACUAAUUAUGUACUUGUGGAUAACUUCCAACUUGUUAAGGAAAAAAACAAAAUAUGUUUAAAAUUAAAAAUAAUAGUCUCAUAAACAUAAGUUCAAAAUACAAAAUAUGAAUAUAAUAAAGUAAAAGUACAUAACAUGAAAUCUAAAUUUUGUUCAAUAAACUUAACGUAAGAGGAAAUAGAUCUAAGUUAAUAUCUAAAGAAUUAAGUGAAAAAGUAAUGAAAGCUUGUCAAUAAUAAAAAUAAAAAAUAUAAAGUAAUGAAAGUUUGAAAAGAGAGAGAGAAGUAAGCUCAUUUAAUUAAUCUUGGUAGCAACUCGAGUCUUGUAGAACUUGAAGAUUGGACAUUCAAAAACAUGUAGAGUUGAGAUUUUUACUUAAGUUUUGUGCAUUUUUGUGUGAUUUUAACAACUAGAAAAUAAAAAAGAGAAAAUAACCUUACAUAAAAAAUAAGUGUAGUGGUGGUAACAACCGUAACAGUGCUGUAGCGGCAAUGUAACGGCCAUUAUGGCCUUUAUGUAACGGUGGUGGACAUUACAGUUGUAAAUUUUUGUCACACUGCUAUAGCGGUCGUAGCGGGUGGUGGUAACUACUACAACCUUGAGGCCACUUUUUAAAACCAUGGGUAUAAUUCAACCUUCGAGGUGUCACAUGCCUUUGUAAAUGCCUAGUGUCUUUGUAAGAUUGGCCUAGACAUGUUCUACCUUCAGGAAAGAGUUGGUGAGGCACUAAGACGAACCCUUAGACUCUAGCCUCUAGGCCACAAGUCCUCUAUUGAUCUCUAGCAAGAUGCCUAGUCCUUGCUCCCAACCUAUGUAGCCAAGGAUGGAGCCAUGGUAUUUUUCCAAAGGAGGCAAAAUCUGAACCAUACGUGAAAUGUUUUCCUAUUUGAUAGUAAAUAAAUUUUUUUUUAAAGGGUUAAUGUUUUUUCUUAUUUAAACCCUAAAUCUAUGCAUAUUAUUGUCCUCAAUGACAGUUAUGGAAUUUUUCAUAACUAUCUCAAUUACUGCUUGAAAAGUAAAAAUAAAAGAUAAAUUUACAUGACUAGCAAGAUUUUAAUUUGUAAACAAAUUUUCUUAAAAAGGGUGUUUGUUUGGUGGGAUAGAGCCAUGAGAUUGGACUCCAUGUCCAUUAGAAUAACUAGUCCAACAUUUAGUUAGAAAAGUGAAAGUCAGACUAAUAAUCUGGUCAGACUAACAGGUUGUGUGGGACAGAAAUGAGUGGAUUGAGCCAACCUCUAGAUUAGCUAGUUUAAUGACGAAAUUGAACCCCCAAGUACAUAACAUUUCUUUCUUUCAUUUUUUUUAAGAGUGCUACUAUCAGCCCCCACUUAAUACUUUGGACCCCCCAUUUGUUGGAAUCCCCACCUACAAAAUUCAAAAUCCUAACAAUUUCUAAGAACCUUCCAAAUAAUAAAAACCAAAAUUAUCCUUCUAAAAAUAUCACACCCACCAAAAUACACACCCCCCUUAGCACAUCACCUAAAAACUCCCAUCUCCCAAAACCCUUAUCAGUUGAACUCACCAAUCUUCCUCUCACUGUCGAGAGCUGAGCCGUUGAUCUUUGUCGUAGCCAGUCCUUCACUGUCGACCUCUCUCUGCCGUUGAUCUCUCCACCGCCAUGUUUGGACCUAUGUUGCCGAAGAAAUUACCUAUGUUCGGACUUGUGUUGUUGAGCAUUAUAAAAACGUAAAGUUAUCAGUCUAUGAACAAGUUUGACCCAUCAAAGUUUAACAAACAAAGAUAAGUAUGCAUAAACUAGUUUGAUUAACAAAUAAAACUAAAGUUUAUCGCAUAACCAAAACGUGAGUUUGGAUUAAGGUUACAUUCAAAGUGCCGAACAUAUGAAUAAUGUUCGGUUAGACGUUGCUAAACUAAUGCCUUUAAUUUGGCCACGUAUUACUAUUUUUUUGGCAUAUGUUUGGGAGUUCAGUUUUGAAAAAAAGUAGGACCGUUUUCACCAAAUUUUUGUUUUUUUUGAAAAAACUUAUCAUUACAAGGUCAACUUCCUCCGAGAUGCGAACAUCAUCCAAGUUGUGAACCUCCUCUGAGCUUACAUUGUGAUGCUCUAUUCGUCUCAUGGUAUUGGGGUUGCCGGAAAAACUCUCUCAUUGCCAUUACUGGAGAAGUGUAUACUGUUGAAUAGUUGUUGCCGUUGCCGUUGCCGCCAGAGGGUUUUGAAGGUUUUGAGGGUUUUGAAGUGUGUGGGUGGUGAUUAAGGUGGAUCCUCUCAUAAACCCUGUGUUAUGAUUUAGUGGGUGGAUAGAUUUAAUUAUGAGAUGGGGUGUCCCAAAAUAAUUCAUGUCCUUUUUAGUAAUUUUAUUUGAGGUUAUUAUUGUAAUAAAAGAAAAGAAUGACAUGGGGGGUCCAAAGUAUUAAUUGGUGUGGUAAUAACAACACUCUUUUUUAAGACAUGUUAACCAAAACAAACCAAACCAAGCCUUAAGUCCUAUCAAAUGGGGUCGGCUAUAUGAAUCCUUCUUCUUUACCCAACUCUAUCAAAGGCCAUUUGGUUAGUCAAUUUAACGAGAUUCAUAUCUCUAUUUAUUACACUAACUCACGUCAAUCUAGGUCUACUCCUUCCCCUAACACUUCUAUCUAAUCGUCACUGUAUCACAUCUCUUCACUCUUUUUAAACAUGCUGGAUUUUUUUAUUUAUUUUUUUAAACGUGUAAAUUAAUCUCGUUAUAAAUGA